CAGUCGCCACGGUAAUACGGAGGGUGCAAGCGUUAAUCGGAAUUACUGGGCGUAAAGCGCACGCAGGCGGUCUGACAAGUCAGAUGUGAAAUCCCCGGGCUUAACCUGGGAACUGCAUUUGAAACUGUCAGGCUGGAGUCUUGUAGAGGGGGGUGGAAUUCCAGGUGUAGCGGUGAAAUGCGUAGAGAUCUGGAGGAAUACCGGUGGCGAAGGCGGCCCCCUGGACAAAGACUGACGCUCAGGUGCGAAAGCGUGGGGAGCAAACAGGAUUAGAUACCCGAGUAGUCCCUGUCUCUUAUAC
Molecule: ribosomal RNA, 301 nt
Filed under: uncultured bacterium
Lineage: Bacteria
Description: partial 16S ribosomal RNA
Rfam family: Bacterial small subunit ribosomal RNA
Source: RNAcentral